This 484-nucleotide ribosomal RNA is filed under the name uncultured bacterium. Its description in RNAcentral is "partial 16S ribosomal RNA". It matches the Rfam family "Bacterial small subunit ribosomal RNA", at positions 30 to 507 of the family's 1533-position model. The record is from RNAcentral.
AUUGAACGCUGGCGGCAGGCCUAACACAUGCAAGUCGAGCGGAUGAAGGGAGCUUGCUCCUGGAUUCAGCGGCGGACGGGUGAGUAAUGCCUAGGAAUCUGCCUGGUAGUGGGGGAUAACGUCCGGAAACGGGCGCUAAUACCGCAUACGUCCUGAGGGAGAAAGUGGGGGAUCUUCGGACCUCACGCUAUCAGAUGAGCCUAGGUCGGAUUAGCUAGUUGGUGGGGUAAAGGCCUACCAAGGCGACGAUCCGUAACUGGUCUGAGAGGAUGAUCAGUCACAGUGGAACUGAGACACGGUCCAGGCUACUACGGGAGGCAGCAGAGGGGAAUAUUGGACAAUGGGCGAAAGCAUGAUCCAGCCAUGCCGAGUGUGUGAAGAAGGUCUUCGGAUUGUAAAGCACUUUAAGUUGGGAGGAAGGGCAGUAAGUUAAUACCUUGCUGUUUUGACGUUACCAACAGAAUAAGCACCGGCUAACUUCGUG